AUGCCGCGUGUGUGAAGAAGGCHYUAGGGUNGUAAAGNACUUUAAGCAGGAAAGAAAAGCGCCGGGUUAAUAACCCGAGCGUGUUGACGGUACCUGCAGAAUAAGCACCGGCUAACUUCGUGCCAGCAGCCGCGGUAAUACGAAGGGUGCAAGCGUUAAUCGGAAUUACUGGGCGUAAAGCGAGUGUAGGCGGUUUCGKGUGUCGGAUGUGAAAGCCCCGGGCUCAACCUGGGAAUUGCAUUCGAAACUGCGGAACUAGAAUAUGGUAGAGGAAGACGGAAUUCCACGUGUAGCGGUGAAAUGCGUAGAUAUGUGGAGGAACACCAAUGGCGAAGGCAGUCUUCUGGGCCAAUAUUGACGCUGAGGCUCGAAAGCGUGGGUAGCAAACAGGAUUAGAUACCCUGGUAGUCCACGCCGUAAACGAUGAGAACUAGACGUUGGUUGACAUAGUCGAUCAGUGUCGCAGCUAACGCGUUAAGUUCUCCGCCUGGGGAGUACGGUCGCAAGACUA
Molecule: ribosomal RNA, 511 nt
Filed under: uncultured bacterium
Lineage: Bacteria
Description: bacterial SSU rRNA
Rfam family: Bacterial small subunit ribosomal RNA
Source: RNAcentral